ACAGCAGUCGCCGCGGUAAUACGGAGGGUGCAAGCGUUAAUCGGAAUUACUGGGCGUAAAGCGCACGCAGGCGGUCUGACAAGUCAGAUGUGAAAUCCCCGGGCUUAACCUGGGAACUGCAUUUGAAACUGUCAGGCUGGAGUCUUGUAGAGGGGGGUGGAAUUCCAGGUGUAGCGGUGAAAUGCGUAGAGAUCUGGAGGAAUACCGGUGGCGAAGGCGGCCCCCUGGACAAAGACUGACGCUCAGGUGCGAAAGCGUGGGGAGCAAACAGGAUUAGAUACCCCUGUAGUCCCUGUCUCUUAUAC
This 305-nucleotide ribosomal RNA is filed under the name uncultured bacterium. Its description in RNAcentral is "partial 16S ribosomal RNA". It matches the Rfam family "Bacterial small subunit ribosomal RNA", at positions 508 to 807 of the family's 1533-position model. The record is from RNAcentral.